This 545-nucleotide ribosomal RNA is filed under the name uncultured Gigasporaceae. RNAcentral's name for it is "SSU rRNA". It matches the Rfam family "Eukaryotic small subunit ribosomal RNA", at positions 548 to 1098 of the family's 1831-position model. Lineage: Eukaryota; Fungi; Glomeromycota; Glomeromycetes; Diversisporales; Gigasporaceae. The record is from RNAcentral.
UUGGAGGGCAAGUCUGGUGCCAGCAGCCGCGGUAAUUCCAGCUCCAAUAGCGUAUAUUAAAGUUGUUGCAGUUAAAAAGCUCGUAGUUGAAUUUCGGGGUUCUACCGUUGGUCGGGCAAUAGUCUGUACUGGCGUGUAGAAUUUCUACCUUCUGGGGAACUAUCAUGUUAUUUAUUUAGCGUGGUAGGAAACCAGGACCUUUACCUUGAAAAAAUUAGAGUGUUCAAAGCAGGCUUACGUCUGAAUACAUUAGCAUGGAAUAAUAAAAUAGGACGGUGGUCCUGUUUUGUUGGUUUCUGAAUCACCGUAAUGAUUAAUAGGGAUAGUUGGGGGCAUUAGUAUUCAAUUGUCAGAGGUGAAAUUCUUGGAUUUAUUGAAGACUAACUUCUGCGAAAGCAUUUGCCAAGGAUGUUUUCAUUAAUCAAGAACGAAAGUUAGGGGAUCGAAGACGAUCAGAUACCGUCGUAGUCUUAACCAUAAACUAUGCCGACUAGGGAUCGGACGAUGUUAAUUUUUCUUGACUCGUUCGGCACCUUACGGGAAAC